GAUGAAGAACGUAGCGAAAUGCGAUAAGUAAUGUGAAUUGCAGAAUUCAGUGAAUCAUCGAAUCUUUGAACGCACAUUGCGCCCGCCAGUAUUCUGGCGGGCAUGCCUGUUCGAGCGUCAUUUCAACCAUCAAGCCCCCGGGCCUGUGUUGGGGACCUGCGGCUGCCCGCAGGCCCCGAAAACCAGUGGCGGGCUCGCUGUCACCCCGAGCGUAGUAGCAACACCUCGCCCAGGGAGUGCCGCGGGCACCGGCCGUAAAACCUCCUCUCGCCCCCCCCCGCGGGAGGGAACACCCCAAAGGUUGACCUCGGAUCAGGUAGGAAGACCCGCUGAACUUAAGCAUAUCAAUAGCGGAGGA
This 358-nucleotide unclassified non-coding RNA is filed under the name soil metagenome. RNAcentral's name for it is "partial contains 5.8S ribosomal RNA, internal transcribed spacer 2, and large subunit ribosomal RNA". The stretch from base 1 to 120 matches the Rfam family "5.8S ribosomal RNA", at positions 35 to 154 of the family's 154-position model. The record is from RNAcentral.